GUGCCAGCAGCCGCGGUAACACGUAUGGGGCGAGCGUUGUUCGGAAUUAUUGGGCGUAAAGGGCGCGUAGGCGGUCCUGCAAGCUUGGUGUGUAAGCCCACAGCUCAACUGUGGAUCCGCGCUGAGAACUGUAGGACUUGAGUUCUGGAGGGGAAGCUGGAAUUCCUGGUGUAGGGGUGAAAUCUGUAGAUAUCAGGAAGAACAUCAGUGGCGAAGGCGAGCUUCUGGCCAAGAACUGACGCUGAGGCGCGAAAGCGUGGGGAGCGAACAGGAUUAGAUACCCUGGUAGUCCACGCCGUAACGAUGUGCACUAGGUGUCGGGCCAUGGAGGUUCGGUGCCGUAGCUAACGCGAUAAGUGCACCGCCUGGGGAGUAUGCCCGCAAGGGUGAAACUCAAAGGAAUUGACGGGGGCCCGCACAAGCGGUGGAGCAUGUGGUUUAAUUCGAUGAUACGCGAGAAACCUUACCAGGGCUUGACAUAUACCGGACGGCGGUAGCGAUAUCGCUUCCCUUCGGGGCCGGUAUACAGGUGCUGCAUGGCUGUCGUCAGCUCGUGCCGUGAGGUGUUGGGUUAAGUCCCGCAACGAGCGCAACCCCCUGCUGUCUGUUACCAUCAUUAAGUUGGGGACUCAGACGGAACUGCCGGUGACAAACCGGAGGAAGGUGGGGACGACGUUCAAGUCAUCAUGGCCCUUAUGUCCUGGGCUACACACGUGCUACAAUGGCCAGUACAGAGUGAAGCGACACCGCGAGGUAGAGCAAAUCGCCGAAAGCUGGUCUCAGUUCGGAUUGGAGUCUGAAACUCGACUCCAUGAAGGUGGAAUCGCUAGUAAUCGCGCAUCAGCAUGGCGCGGUGAAUACGUUCCCGGGCCUUGUACACACCGCCCGUCACACC
This 895-nucleotide ribosomal RNA is filed under the name uncultured spirochete. Its description in RNAcentral is "bacterial SSU rRNA". It matches the Rfam family "Bacterial small subunit ribosomal RNA", at positions 505 to 1403 of the family's 1533-position model. Lineage: Bacteria; Pseudomonadati; Spirochaetota; Spirochaetia; Spirochaetales. The record is from RNAcentral.